UUCAUAGUUUGAUUCAGGUGGAAAUCAAAGCCCUCCUACGGAUUAAACUCGGAUUUGAUCGAUGUUCCGGAUAAGUAUCAUGAGUUCUUAGCUAUGUGGUUGAUCACUUUCGCUAUCAGCUCAGCUGUACUAUUAUGAGUGGCAUACCUCUACGACCCGGUGUGAUUGGAUGGAUGGACUCUUGUAAUCCUAUUUGAUGUGAUUGGUUGGACGGAGUUGUUGUGUAGCGGAUGGGGGUAGGAUCUUUGAUUGCAUUUGUAUCUGAAUAUUAAAUACAUCUGAUUAUGUAUAAGAGAAUGUGUUUAAGAUUUUGAUUUUGAAAUUAAGAA
This is a long non-coding RNA of Gossypium arboreum, 329 nucleotides long. RefSeq lists it as uncharacterized. The transcript has 2 exons. Lineage: Eukaryota; Viridiplantae; Streptophyta; Magnoliopsida; Malvales; Malvaceae. The record is from RefSeq and is a predicted model, not a curated record.